GAGUGGCGAACGGGUGAGUAACACGUGAGUAACCUGCCCCCUUCUUUGGGAUAACGCCCGGAAACGGGUGCUAAUACUGGAUAUUCACUGGCCUUCGCAUGGGGGUUGGUGGAAAGGUUUUUCUGGUGGGGGAUGGGCUCGCGGCCUAUCAGCUUGUUGGUGGGGUGAUGGCCUACCAAGGCUUUGACGGGUAGCCGGCCUGAGAGGGUGACCGGUCACAUUGGGACUGAGAUACGGCCCAG
RNAcentral lists this ribosomal RNA (242 nucleotides) under uncultured bacterium. Its description in RNAcentral is "partial 16S ribosomal RNA". It matches the Rfam family "Bacterial small subunit ribosomal RNA", at positions 93 to 334 of the family's 1533-position model. The record is from RNAcentral.